ACUUAUCCAAAGAGACUCAGGCUGAGUCUACAAUCAAUAUUUGAUUAGCUACAAGUGCUGCACGACCUUCUUAAAGAAAGACAGCUGGACAGAGUGCCGAGCAGGAAUAGGAAUAUAGAGUUGAAACGAUGACCAAUAUAGUGUCCAGGGCCUGGGUGCGUUUUGUUUUCCAGUGGUGGUAACAGUGGAUCUAGUUGUCAUCCUAAAUGCGUCGUGUAGGAGAUCUCAUUAUGGUGGACGGCCCAGAGGGGAAAGUUUAAGACAGCUGCUGUGAUCAAUUUGGUUCUUUCACCACGUAAGGCAGAGGAUACGAUGAGGAAACCGAGGCAUUUCCUAUCCUAACCCGGCCCAGAUGUGAAGUCUCAGGGAAUACAGUGUCAUUACAUAACAUUCAUACAUCAUCGGGGCGCUUGGCUCCCAAACGCCA
Molecule: long non-coding RNA, 427 nt
Organism: Gadus macrocephalus (Pacific cod)
Lineage: Eukaryota; Metazoa; Chordata; Actinopteri; Gadiformes; Gadidae
Exons: 2
Source: RefSeq, a predicted model, not a curated record